Molecule: ribosomal RNA, 1361 nt
Filed under: Eutelia adulatricoides
Lineage: Eukaryota; Metazoa; Arthropoda; Insecta; Lepidoptera; Euteliidae
Description: 16S ribosomal RNA
Source: RNAcentral
AAGGGGUAAAUUAAUAAUUAUAUAAAUAAAAAAAGAAUUUUUAAAAUAAAAACAAAUAUUUAAUGGGGGUUAAAGUAUUUUUUUUAGAAAAAAUUUUUUAGUUUAUAGUUUAAUAGUAUUGUAAAAUAAAUUUGAAAUAAUUGAUAUAUUAAUUUUAUAAAAAGUAAUUUUAAUUUAGUGUAUCUUGUGUAUCAGAGUUUAUUAAAUAAUUUUUUUAUAUAAAAAAUUCUCGAAUUUAAAAGAGAUAAUUAAUUAUAAAAGUUAUUGUGGCAUAAAUAUUUUUAAUAAUUAAUUUGAAAUGAAAUGUUAAUCGUUUUUAAAUAUAUCUAGUUUUUUUAGAAAAAAAUUUAAUUUUAAAUUUAUCAUAGAAAUAAUUAAUUAAUUAAUUAUUUCUAUGAUAAAUUUUAUAUUUUAAGGGAUAAGCUUUAAAUUAAAUAAAUAUAAUAAAAUUAAAAAUUAUAUUGAAAUUUAUAUAAUUUAUAUUGUUAAUUAAUUUUAAUUUAUUAUAAAUAAUUUCAUUUAAAAUAAAAUUUAAUUAAAAAUUUAUAUUUUUAUAAAAAAAUAAUUUUUAAUUAGAAAAAUUUAGUUAUAAUGAUAAAAUUAGUAUAUUAAUUUAAUAAAAUAUAUAAAAUUAUUAAUUAAAAUUAAUAAAAAGGAAUUCGGCAAAAUUUUAUAUUCACUUGUUUAUCAAAAACAUGUCUUUUUGAAAUUAAUAUAAAGUCUAAUCUGCCCACUGAUUUUAGGAUUGAAGGGCUGCAGUAUUUUGACUGUACAAAGGUAGCAUAAUCAUUAGUCAUUUAAUUGAUGACUUGUAUGAAGGAUUGGAUGAAAUAUAAACUGUCUCUUUAUUAAAUUAUAGAAUUUAAUUUUUUAAUUAAAAAGUUAAAAUAAAUUAAAAAGACGAGAAGACCCUAUAGAGUUUUAUAAUUAUUUUAAUUAAGAUUAUUUAUAAAAUUAAAUAUUAAAAUUAUUUUAAUUAUUUUGUUGGGGUGAUAGAAAAAUAAGUAAAACUUUUUUUAAUUAUUAACAUAAAUAAGUGAUUAAUUGAUCCAAUUAUAUUGAUUAUAAGAAAAAAUUACCUUAGGGAUAACAGCGUAAUUUUUUUUUUUAGUUCAAAUAAAAAAAAAAGUUUGCGACCUCGAUGUUGGAUUAAGAUAAAAUUUAAAUGCAGAAGUUUAAAAUUUUGAUCUGUUCGAUCAUUAAAAUCUUACAUGAUUUGAGUUCAAACCGGUGUGAGCCAGGUUGGUUUCUAUCUUUUAAAAAAAAAAAUAUUUUAGUACGAAAGGAUUAAAUAUUUAAAUUAAAUUUAUUUUAUUGAUUAUUAAUAAUAAAAUUAUAAAUUUAUUAAAAUUGAUUUAUAA